ACUUUUACUUGACCUUUCCGAAAGUCGGUACAUCAAUGUUGAAAUGUUAUUUAACAACGGCAUUUAAACCGUACAUAUGUACAUGUACAUACAUAAAUUGGAUACACUACACUUUUAAAUGGGGUGUAGCAAAGCUCAGUAGCGUUGUCAAUAAUACAAGUUCAUCUUGUACCCAUUCAAAACCGGUAGCGUCACCCCAUCUGGUUCCCGCCGUUUACCAUCACAAUGCUAAGUGACGCCAUUCAUUCGUGCGUCCAGACCAACAUUUUGUUUACUUUUCCCAUUUAGCUGUGCGAAUUAGAAUAAAGUUUGCUGAAAUAAAGAGCUUAAACCCAAUGAAAAACAGGAGAAUCAUAGUU
Molecule: non-coding RNA, 359 nt
Organism: Drosophila melanogaster (fruit fly)
Lineage: Eukaryota; Metazoa; Arthropoda; Insecta; Diptera; Drosophilidae
Source: Ensembl